RNAcentral lists this ribosomal RNA (231 nucleotides) under uncultured bacterium. Its description in RNAcentral is "partial 16S ribosomal RNA". It matches the Rfam family "Bacterial small subunit ribosomal RNA", at positions 104 to 334 of the family's 1533-position model. The record is from RNAcentral.
CGGGGUGGAGGUAUGUACUGGGAAGCGGCUCGAUGGAGGGGGAUAACUACUGGAAACGGUAGCUAAUACCGCAUAACGUCGCAAGACCAAAGAGGGGGACCUUAGGGCCUCUUGCCAUCGGAUGUGCCCAGAUGGGAUUAGCUAGUAGGUGGGGUAACGGCUCACCUAGGCGACGAUCCCUAGCUGGUCUGAGAGGAUGACCAGCCACACUGGAACUGAGACACGGUCCAG